CCUCUGUAUUCCCAGGACUGUCCAGAGGAGAAGCUCCCAGAGAACCAUCAGGAUGAAAAUCUGAUGGAUAUUAAGAUUGAGGUUAAAGAUGAAGAAGAAGAGGAGACGGAUUUAUGGGGCGAUCAGCAGGAUGGACUCAUAGAAGGAAAUCCCCCCGAGAGAUGUCCCCGUCCACUGUA
Molecule: long non-coding RNA, 179 nt
Organism: Bufo bufo (common toad)
Lineage: Eukaryota; Metazoa; Chordata; Amphibia; Anura; Bufonidae
Exons: 3
Source: RefSeq, a predicted model, not a curated record